ACAAGUAGCGGAGCAUGUGGUUUAAUUCGAAGCAACGCGAAGAACCUUACCUAAGCUUGACAUCCCAAUGACAUCUCCUUAAUCGGAGAGUUCCCUUCGGGGAUAUUGGUGACAGGUGGUGCAUGGUUGUCGUCAGCUCGUGUCGUGAGAUGUUGGGUUAAGUCCCGCAACGAGCGCAACCCUUGUCUUUAGUUGCCAUCAUUAAGUUGGGCACUCUAGAGAGACUGCCAGGGAUAACCUGGAGGAAGGUGGGGAUGACGUCAAAUCAUCAUGCCCCUUAUGCUUAGGGCUACACACGUGCUACAAUGGGUAGUACAGAGGGUUGCCAAGCCGUAAGGUGGAGCUAAUCCCUUAAAGCUACUCUCAGUUCGGAUUGUAGGCUGAAACUCGCCUACAUGAAGCUGGAGUUACUAGUAAUCGCAGAUCAGAAUGCUGCGGUGAAUGCGUUCCCGGGUCUUGUACACACCGCCCGUCACACCACGGGAGUUGGAGACGCCCGAAGCCGA
RNAcentral lists this ribosomal RNA (506 nucleotides) under Clostridioides difficile. RNAcentral describes it as "bacterial SSU rRNA". It matches the Rfam family "Bacterial small subunit ribosomal RNA", at positions 925 to 1430 of the family's 1533-position model. The record is from RNAcentral. Lineage: Bacteria; Bacillati; Bacillota; Clostridia; Peptostreptococcales; Peptostreptococcaceae.